RNAcentral lists this ribosomal RNA (253 nucleotides) under uncultured bacterium. RNAcentral's name for it is "partial 16S ribosomal RNA". It matches the Rfam family "Bacterial small subunit ribosomal RNA", at positions 524 to 776 of the family's 1533-position model. The record is from RNAcentral.
UACGGAGGGCGCGAGCGUUAAUCGGAAUUACUGGGCGUAAAGCGCGCGUAGGCUGUUGUGUAAGUUGGGGGUGAAAUCCCACGGCUCAACCGUGGAACAGCCCUUGAUGCUGCGCGACUUGAAUCCGGGAGAGGGUGGCGGAAUUCCAGGUGUAGGAGUGAAAUCCGUAGAUAUCUGGAGGAACAUCAGUGGCGAAGGCGGCCACCUGGACCGGUAUUGACGCUGAGGCGCGAAGGCGUGGGGAGCAAACAGG